GGGGAAUAUUGCACAAUGGACGGAAGUCUGAUGCAGCAACGCCGCGUGCGGGAUGAAGGCCUUCGGGUUGUAAACCGCUUUCACCUCCGGCGAAUUUGACGGUAGGAGGAGAAGAAGCACCGGCUAACUACGUGCCAGCAGCCGCGGUGAUACGUAGGGUGCGAGCGUUGUCCGGAUUUAUUGGGCGUAAAGAGCUCGUAGGUGGUUGUUUGCGUCGGAAGUGAAAACCUAGCGCUUAACGGUGGGCUUGCUUUCGAUACGGGAUGACUUGAGGGAUGUAGGGGAGAACGGAAUUCCUGGUGGAGCGGUGGAAUGCGCAGAUAUCAGGAGGAACACCGGUGGCGAAGGCGGUUCUCUGGACAUUUCCUGACGCUGAGGAGCGAAAGCGUGGGGAGCAAAC
Molecule: ribosomal RNA, 400 nt
Filed under: uncultured bacterium
Lineage: Bacteria
Description: bacterial SSU rRNA
Rfam family: Bacterial small subunit ribosomal RNA
Source: RNAcentral